RNAcentral lists this ribosomal RNA (253 nucleotides) under uncultured bacterium. Its description in RNAcentral is "partial 16S ribosomal RNA". It matches the Rfam family "Bacterial small subunit ribosomal RNA", at positions 524 to 776 of the family's 1533-position model. The record is from RNAcentral.
UACGGAGGGUGCAAGCGUUGUUCGGAUUUACUGGGCGUAAAGCGCGCGCAGGUGGAUGUGCAAGUCGGAAGUGAAAUCUCGAGGCUCAACCUCGAGGCUGCUCCCGAAACGGUACGUCUAGGGACUGGUAGAGGCUGGUAGAAUUCCCGGUGUAGCGGUGGAAUGCGUAGAGAUCGGGAAGAAUACCUGUGGCGAAGGCGGCCAGCUGGGCCAGAUCCGACACUGAGGCGCGAAAGCGUGGGGAGCAAACAGG